Molecule: ribosomal RNA, 490 nt
Filed under: uncultured bacterium
Lineage: Bacteria
Description: bacterial SSU rRNA
Rfam family: Bacterial small subunit ribosomal RNA
Source: RNAcentral
GAUCAUGGCUCAGGAUGAACGCUGGCGGCGUGCUUAACACAUGCAAGUCGAACGAAGCACUUAAUGAGAUUUCUUCGGAUUGAUAUUUUGUGACUGAGUGGCGGACGGGUGAGUAACGCGUGGGUAACCUGCCCCAGACCGGGGGAUAACAGUCGGAAACGACUGCUAAUACCGCAUAAGCGCACAGUGCCGCAUGGCACGGUGUGAAAAACUCCGGUGGUCUGGGAUGGACCCGCGUCCGAUUAGUUAGUUGGUGGGGUAACGGCCACCAAGACUGCGAUCGGUAGCCGACCUGAGAGGGUGACCGGCCACAUUGGGACUGAGACACGGCCCAGACUCCUACGGGAGGCAGCAGUGGGGAAUAUUGCACAAUGGAGGAAACUCUGAUGCAGCGACGCCGCGUGAGCGAAGAAGUAUUUCGGUAUGUAAAGCUCUGUCAGCAGGGAAGAUAAUGACGGUACCUGACCAAGAAGCCCCGGCUAACUACGUG